Molecule: ribosomal RNA, 409 nt
Filed under: Verrucomicrobiota bacterium
Lineage: Bacteria; Pseudomonadati; Verrucomicrobiota
Description: Verrucomicrobia bacterium partial 16S ribosomal RNA
Rfam family: Bacterial small subunit ribosomal RNA
Source: RNAcentral
UGGGGAAUAUUGCACAAUGGGCGGAAGCCUGAUGCAGCGACGCCGCGUGAGGGAUGACGGCCUUCGGGUUGUAAACCUCUUUCAGUAGGGACGAAGCGUAAGUGACGGUACCUGCAGAAGAAGCACCGGCUAACUACGUGCCAGCAGCCGCGGUAAUACGUAGGGUGCGAGCGUUGUCCGGAAUUACUGGGCGUAAAGAGCUCGUAGGCGGUUUGUCACGUCGUCUGUGAAAUCCUAGGGCUUAACCCUGGACGUGCAGGCGAUACGGGCUGACUUGAGUACUACAGGGGAGACUGGAAUUUCUGGUGUAGCGGUGGAAUGCACAGAUAUCAGGAAGAACACCGAUGGCGAAGGCAGGUCUCUGGGUAGUAACUGACGCUGGGGAGCGAAAGCAUGGGUAGCGAACAGG